GCCGGGCGUGGUGGCACACACUUGUAAUCCCAGCUACUCAGGAGGCUGAGGCAGGAGAAUUGCUUGAGCCCGGGAAGCGGAGGUUGCAGUGAGCCGAGAUUGUGCCACUGGCCAAUCUCCAGCCUGGCCAACAGAGCGAGACCCUGUCUCAG
Pongo abelii (Sumatran orangutan) is the source of this 152-nucleotide unclassified non-coding RNA. It matches the Rfam family "Metazoan signal recognition particle RNA". From Rfam's summary of the family: The signal recognition particle (SRP) is a universally conserved ribonucleoprotein. It is involved in the co-translational targeting of proteins to membranes. The record is from Ensembl. Lineage: Eukaryota; Metazoa; Chordata; Mammalia; Primates; Hominidae.